Molecule: ribosomal RNA, 681 nt
Filed under: uncultured nitrite-oxidizing bacterium
Lineage: Bacteria
Description: bacterial SSU rRNA
Rfam family: Bacterial small subunit ribosomal RNA
Source: RNAcentral
GGCUCAGAACGAACGCUGGCGGCGCGCCUAAUACAUGCAAGUCGAACGAGAAUGUGUAGCAAUACACAUGUACAGUGGCGAACGGGUGAGGAAUACAUGGGUAAUCUACCAUCGAGUGGGGAAUAACCAGCCGAAAGGUUGGCUAAUACCGCGUACGCCUCCGGAUCUUCGGGUUCGGAGGGAAAGCUGCACUGUGAGUGCGGCGCUCUUUGAUGAGCUCAUGUCCUAUCAGCUUGUUGGUAGGGUAACGGCCUACCAAGGCUUUGACGGGUAGCUGGUCUGAGAGGACGAUCAGCCACACUGGCACUGCGACACGGGCCAGACUCCUACGGGAGGCAGCAGUAAGGAAUAUUGCGCAAUGGGCGAAAGCCUGACGCAGCGACGCCGCGUGGGGGAUGAAGGUCUUCGGAUUGUAAACCCCUUUCGGGAGGGAAGAUGGAGCGAGCAAUCGUUCGGACGGUACCUCCAGAAGCAGCCACGGCCAACUUCGUGCCAGCAGCCGCGGUAAUACGAAGGUGGCAAGCGUUGUUCGGAUUCACUGGGCGUACAGGGUGUGUAGGCGGUUUGGUAAGCCUUCUGUUAAAGCUUCGGGCCCAACCCGGAAAGCGCAGAGGGUACUGCCAGGCUAGAGGGUGGGAGAGGAGCGCGGAAUUCCCGGUGUAGCGGUGAAAUGCGUAGAGA